AAAAAUAUUUGCUUCUUAUUGAUUAGCUUUUUUUUUUUUUAACACAAAACAGAGAUGUUCACUGUGACCUCAAGUGGAUUCUUCUCCACCAAUCCAAAAUUUUAUCCCAGGAGACACCAGCAAUCAUUUGCAGGAGAUAUUGAUCAACCAGAGAAUGCACAUUUCUGAACCAGAUCCCUGGUGAGGUUGAUGGGACAGUAGCAGGAAGCUUGUUUUGUGGAUUUGGAAAUGAAAACCCAAGAGGUGAGUGACUUGGGAACACUGAACAUGAUUUCCCCUCUCAGAGAUGAGACCAGGACUAAUGUCUGCCAGCCGAUU
RNAcentral lists this long non-coding RNA (318 nucleotides) under Sus scrofa (pig). RNAcentral describes it as "lncRNA (ENSSSCG00050069749.1)". The record is from RNAcentral. Lineage: Eukaryota; Metazoa; Chordata; Mammalia; Artiodactyla; Suidae.